CAGAUUUCCAUAGAGCAUGACUUUGCAUCAGCAGCACCAUGCUCCAGUGCUCUGGGAGAGUUUAUAGUCCUGAGAGUUGAAGACUGGAUGACUGACAGCUGUCCUUCAUCACAACAGAAGACUUGGAAAUCCUCCUGAUCAAAACCAUGACUUUGAUCUGCGUCCUCAUCUGGACUCUCCUCUGCUUCACUCAGGGGUCUGAUGGACAACAUGUUGUGACUCAGCCAGCAGCCAGAUCAGUGCAGCUUGGUCAGACCGUCUCUGUGGACUGUAAAGUCAGUCCACCAGCAGCUAGUGAUUUUCGUUUAAAACACGAUCUGUCCUGGUACCAUCAGACACCUGGAGAAGCUCCUAAACUCCUGAUUUAUUCUACCACGAUUCGCAAGUCUGAAUAUCCAAAUCAAUUCAGUGGACGUGGAUCAGGGAAUGGAGCUGACUUCACUCUGACCAUCAGUGCAGUUCAGGCUGAAGAUGCAGGAGUUUAUUACUGUCAGAGUUACCACCUUGGCGAUGUGUUCACACAGUGAAAAAGCAUCGUACAAAAACCUCUUUCAGUCUGACUGAACAGAAACUGAUGCAGCUCACUGAACACAUUCAGGUUUUCAGGCCAUGAUGAAUUAAACUUUGUUCCUAAAUAAUCAGAAGUUUUAGAAAAAAAAUGGUUUCAAAUAUUACAAUAGAAAUUAUCUUUAGUGAUGAUUAUCUUAACACCAACAACAUUUUUCAAUAAUUCUUUGCCACUUAAAAGAAGCAAAAAUCACUUUGAUUUUACAAAUGUUUUUUAUUCAGACAUGAAAUAUGAGCAAAACUGAAACAAAUUGUUAUUAUUCCUCAACUUUUUAUUCCUAACUGUUAGCAGGAGUCGUCUUCAAAACUGGUGUUGCCACACUGAGGGAAAUGUUUAGGACCCAAAUAUGCAGAUAACCCAGGAUGACUCGAGGCAGAAGUUGUAUAAGUAAAAAUCCUUUAUUCUUAGGAAGAACAAAAAAUAAAUCCAAACAUGGCAGCGGGCCAAAAGUCCAAAAGUCCUGGAGAACAUAACAUCAAAAAGCUCUCUCAGAGCACCAAAACAUGGAUACCAAAGCUCACGAAGAGCACGAAGACCUGGAGAUAAAAGCUCAAACAGAGCACGAACAAACACUGACGAACAUACAAUGGACCGACACAACACAGAGACAAGACAGGGCUUAUAUAGACUGGGAAGAAGAGAGGGAGAUGAAUUGCAGGUGUGUGGGGAGAGGGACCAGGUGAACACAAUUACUAAAUCAGGGAGGAGGAAAAAACACAGGUGGGAAAAAACACACUAAAUAAAGAAAGGCUGUAACAAAGGAAAAUUACCUAAGAGAAAAACAAAAGAUCAGAAGGCAAUAACCAUAACUAAUAUUCUAAGGGGAAGCUGACACUAAAGAAAAACACUACAGACAGAAACUACAGGGGCGUGGCUAAGAGGGAGCCAAGAGAGCACAGGACCUGGGAGGGGGGAUGUCUGAGGAGGGAAACCUAGAGGGCAAAUGGGGAACAGCAGGAGACACAUGAGGAAGAUGCAGACACGACACAUGAGGGUGCUAGAAGACACAAAAUGAGCACCUAGAGAUGAAUGGAGGACAAAAGGAGACACAUGAGAUGAGACGCCGACACAGACCAUGACAGUACCCCCCCCCC
Molecule: non-coding RNA, 1662 nt
Organism: Nothobranchius furzeri (turquoise killifish)
Lineage: Eukaryota; Metazoa; Chordata; Actinopteri; Cyprinodontiformes; Nothobranchiidae
Source: the annotation of a RefSeq genome assembly